GCAGUAACUUAGAGUAUGUUUGAAAUUACUUCAAAACGCAAGCAACACUCGUACACGGAUGUACGAGCGAGUCCAUACUGAGCCUGGAUGGCGAACAUGAACGGUUGUGUCCUACUGUCUCAUCCUUUAUGUGAUUUCUUACAUACUCUUAGUUACGGAGU
RNAcentral lists this non-coding RNA (161 nucleotides) under uncultured Agathobacter sp. The record is from RNAcentral. Lineage: Bacteria; Bacillati; Bacillota; Clostridia; Lachnospirales; Lachnospiraceae.